Molecule: ribosomal RNA, 500 nt
Filed under: uncultured bacterium
Lineage: Bacteria
Description: partial 16S ribosomal RNA
Rfam family: Bacterial small subunit ribosomal RNA
Source: RNAcentral
AUUGAACGCUGGCGGAAUGCUUUACACAUGCAAGUCGAACGGCAGCACGGACUUCGGUCUGGUGGCGAGUGGCGAACGGGUGAGUAAUGUAUCGGAACGUGCCCAGUCGUGGGGGAUAACGUAGUGAAAAUUACGCUAAUACCGCAUACGAUCUAUGGAUGAAAGCGGGGGAUCGCAAGACCUCGCGCGAUUGGAGCGGCCGAUAUCAGAUUAGGUAGUUGGUGGGGUAAAGGCCCACCAAGCCCACGAUCUGUAGCUGGUCUGAGAGGACGACCAGCCACACGGGAACCGAGCCACGGUCCAGACUCCUACGGGAGGCAGCAGUGGGGAAUUUUGGACAAUGGGCGAAAGCCUGAUCCAGCCAUUCCGCGUGCAGGAUGAAGGCCCUCGGGUUGUAAACUGCUUUUGUACAGAACGAAAAGGUUUCUACUAAUACUAGGAGCUCAUGACGGUACUGUAAGAAUAAGCACCGGCUAACUACGUGCCAGCCGCCGCAGUAA